RNAcentral lists this RNase P RNA (380 nucleotides) under Limisphaerales bacterium. Its description in RNAcentral is "Verrucomicrobia subdivision 3 bacterium RNase P RNA component class A". It matches the Rfam family "Bacterial RNase P class A". Rfam says of the family: Ribonuclease P (RNase P) is a ubiquitous endoribonuclease, found in archaea, bacteria and eukarya as well as chloroplasts and mitochondria. Its best characterised activity is the generation of mature 5'-ends of tRNAs by cleaving the 5'-leader elements of precursor-tRNAs. Lineage: Bacteria; Pseudomonadati; Verrucomicrobiota; Verrucomicrobiia; Limisphaerales. The record is from RNAcentral.
CUGAAAGAGCGGAGGGUCGCCUCUGGCUAUGCCAGGGGAGGAAAGUCCGAACUCCGCAGGGCGCGAUGCCGCGUAACCCUCUCCUCGCGAGAGGGAUGCACGCGGGAGACUGCACUUUAAGGUGUAGUCUACGGCCAGUGCCACAGAAAACAAACCGCCCGGUUUACCGGGUAAGGGUGAAAAGGUGAGGUAAGAGCUCACCGCCCCAAGAGCAAUCGAGGGGGCACGGUAAACCCCAUUGGGAGCAAGACCAAAUAGGGAACCCGGGGCAGCCCGUCCCAUUGAGGUUCCGGGUUAGGUCGCAACAGAUAAAUGAUCCUCUCCGCAGCCGGCUUGCCGGCUUGCGCAGACAGAAUUCGGCUUACAGCUCAAUCAGGAUC